UAAAGGAACAAUCUCCAAGCCCUGAAGCUGGCUUCUUCCUGCCCUAAGGGGGUGCAGACAUCUUUCAGGGUACUUGGCAUAUGCCUUCACCUGUGCCUACAUCACUAUCUCUCUUGCCAUUUGAGAUAACCUUCAAGUAUUUACAAUUGAUGCUCCCAUUUAAGAGGGUUCAGAGCUAAAGUGAUAGAGUCAUCUGCAACUCUGGCAAUAGCUGUGUCUCCCUGCUGGCCAGGGUCAAAGUCUGGCUCCAUUCAAGUCAGAUAAGUUCCACAUUUUGUGCCCUGCUACCAAAACUGGACAAACUCCUGAACUGCCCCUACCUCCCAUCAUGUAAGGCGAUAAGAGACUAUAAGCUUAAUAUCUAAAGGAGAGGGAUUUAUUUUGUGCAUGGAUCAGCUAAAACAUUAUUUGCUUA
Molecule: long non-coding RNA, 415 nt
Organism: Harpia harpyja (harpy eagle)
Lineage: Eukaryota; Metazoa; Chordata; Aves; Accipitriformes; Accipitridae
Exons: 3
Source: RefSeq, a predicted model, not a curated record